RNAcentral lists this small RNA (624 nucleotides) under bovine gut metagenome. RNAcentral describes it as "ROOL RNA". It matches the Rfam family "ROOL RNA". Rfam says of the family: Firmicutes, Fusobacteria (1 example), Tenericutes (1 example). Environment (Cow rumen (57)) The record is from RNAcentral.
UCUGGAACUCAGUGCAUAAGCGGGAUGUCAACCGUUCUGAGAGGCGAAAGCUUCCGAUAUGUCAGCAGUCGGAACGCCUGCAUUGGGGAAAAACCAUGAGGAUACCCAUGGCAGUGCCCUGCGGAGCAGACGCGAGAAUGCUCCGGAAUGCCAGAUGGCAGAAAGUGCGCAGCUGUGCCGGAGGGAUGCAGAUCAAAAGUACAGCGUUUGCCGCCGGAACAACAGACGCCCUUCGAAAAAAGGGAAUAACCCGGAAUACCGCGGAGUGGUAGCCGCAGGAGAGCAGAAACUGAGGCAGCAGUUUUUCUUUCCGGGGGGACGAAACAAUCCGGUUUCCAGUGAAGGCCUGAAAAGGCUGUAUAAGACAACGCGCUGAUCCGAGUAGCAGAAAGUGGAGAAACAAAAUCUGCAGGCUGGCACGUGGACAGAGAGAGACAACUAUUAGUACGAGUUGUGAAAACUGACAACGCCGGAAGAACUGUGAAAGGUGAAGGUAACCAUUCCUUCAGGGGCCAGGCAGCGAAAGCUGCGGGAUACGCGGACGGGAGUCGCUUCCUGUCGGCCGGCCGUAUCUCUCCCUUGACUGAAUAAAAGAUCUGAAGUCCUGGUCGGUACCGUGAAAGC